CGUGAUCCCCCCACCUCGGCCUCUCAAAGUGCUGGGAUUACAGGUGUGAGCUACCGCACCGGGCCGUCCCUCUCCUUCUAAUCCUCCUCCAUUCCCUUCCUGAGUCGAGGCUUCUGCUGAAGAGCCCUUACUGGAGAUCAGCAUCCUGUGAUCCUGAGCAUCCAUGAGACAUAUGCACCUCUAACCUCCCUUGGAAAGGGUUUACAUAGGAUUGAACGGAGGGAGAGUUACUAUUGUUUUUACUUCUUCUCUAAGCCAUGUUUUCUGUCGCACACACCAGAUUUCAGUGGCUUGCCUUCUGUGAAUAGAAAUUUGUCAGACACUUAUUUUGUUGAUUUAGUUCUGUUGGUAAACACUGGAGCACAGUCUCGUAGUCAUCUCUCGGAGUUAGAACUGUCAGCUACUAGGAGCUAAAAAAAAAGAGGGACUCCUAGGCAUACUGCCAUUCAACAGAAUCUCUUUCUUUAUUCUAAGAGUUCAAAAAAUAUGGUGCAGCCAGAUUUUUUCUUUUUCACAGAGUUAAGUAUAAUCCAGCUAAAAAUAGUGCCAUGUUUUAAUAUCUGUAACCUAGAAUUUUUAUCCACGCAAAAAUAUUUUCACUUAUAGCCGUUUGUGUAAACUUUGCUUAAGGAAAUUAAUUAAUAGAUAUAUGAGUACUUAAUUUUAAAUGUGAAUCUCCAUAAAUAAAAACAUAUUUUCAUUGGCUAAUAAAAUUCCCUCAUCCCCUCAAUUACUUUGCUCUCUCCAGUGUAAAUCCUUUUUAGGAAAAAUGGGAUGACAGCUGGCAUUAUUUGGUCUCCGUUAUGUGCAUGGCUGACUGAUAAGCAAUUUACACACAUUCUCCUCUUCAGGUCUUAUAAGAAACUUAUGUCUCUCUUAGAGAGACAUAUUAUCUCCAUUUUCCUAAGAAGAAUACAGAUUUGGGGGAUUAAGUAACAUUUCAAAGAUCACAUAGAAAAAUGUCAAUGCUGGAAUUUGAGCUAUGGUCGAUCUAAUUUUAAAAGUCUACUUCUAGAUUUGUAAAAUUUAAUCUAUCCUUGACACAUGCAUGGAACAGAAGACUCUUCCUCUAGCACUGGCAGAGGAAAGGAUUAGAAUAAUGAGAUAACUUUCUACAAUAUGUAAAACCAUGUACACCUAACAACACAUCAACAAUCAUACAAUUGAAAAUGUGGUUUAAUCGUAGCUGUAGAUAUGUUUUGUCAUAAGUGAGACCUACACUUCAAUAGCAACAAUAAAAAUGAAUUAAUAUUUAGAAUAUAAAUUCUGGCACAUACACCACAUCUUCUUUAAAAUUCAUUGAAUAUAUUGAAAUAAAACCAGUCAUGUAAAAUGACUUAAUGAUGAACUUAUGGAAUAUCCUAUAGUUCUCAGUGUAUGUUUAGAACUUUCUGGUGUUCCAAUCUUACCAUAGACCAGGGGCUUACAGCCUGUGCCUGGUCCCAUCAGGACCCAACAGGUGGAUGUUCGAUAUUAUCUUCUCUUUUAGGUCACUUGCCAAUCAGGAAGUUAAACAAUGACCUAUGUUCUUCAUAUAAGAAAGCAGAACAUUCCGGGCCUUUAAUGUUUCAAAAACUUCUCUGUAUUGGCCUAGAGGCUUCUCUUACUUGGACUUUUACAGUGGCUUGAGGUCAUAGUUUUGGGAUGCAAACACAUAACAUUCACUUCCAACUUCUGACUCCAUUUAUAUUUCUCAUCUAUUUAUUUCUGCCCUGGUUCUUGUCUGACAUCUUGAUUUUGGCACCAAAUUAGUUCUUCAUAAGAAUGAAUCUAAAAGUAGGCCCUGCUGUUUAUUCUAAGUUUUUCUUAAAUCCUCUGAUUUUCUUCCUAGGUAUGUCUCCAUAUAUUUAACUAUAAGCAGUCCUUUUUCAGCACAUUAUAUUGGUGCUUAUAAUAUGUUAUCAGAAGAAUAGUUUUUGCUGCAUGUCAUAAAAACCUGGAUUCCAACAGUCUUAAACUAUCCAUUAUUCCACAUAGCAGGAGAUCCAGAGAAAAUGCAGGCUUCAAGUUUGGUUGACCUGGUGAUGUCAUCAACGAUCCAGGAUCAUUUCAUCUCUUCUCAGCCAUUCUCAGUUUAGGCUCCAUUUUCAGGCUGGUGGAAAUAUAGCUGCAGCAGUUCAAGUUUUCUAAUUCUGACACAAUAUCUAGAAGGGAAGAGACCAUCCUUUUCUGGAGGUCUCUCUUUGAGCCAAGGAAAUGUUUCUUGAAGGUCCCUGCAGACUUCCUCACACAUCUCAUUGGUCAUAUGCCCAGGCUUGAAACCACUCACUGGCAAGAGGAAUGAAUCUGCAAUGAUUCAGGUCAGUCACCUGGGUGGAGUGAAUGUGGGGGAAUCAGCCACAAUAUUCACAUGUAGUGAAUUUCUUCCAAAUAUGUUAUAAAUAGUGAUGAUGUUGGCAUACUAUUUGGUUGUGUGCAUAGUGCCAUGACACUGGUCUGUUGAAAACAAAGAAAUAUUUUACGUGGUGUAAUAUGUUGCAGGAUCUUGGGGGCAAAACUACAAAGUAUUUUUGAUGCAAUGUUCCUGUUAUAUUUACAGAACCUACUACAUGCUGGAGUUCUCUGAUACAAUGCUAAUAAAUUUAUCCAAAGCUAAAAUUUGAAUGAAUUGUAUUAGCUGCUUCAUCCUUAUAGAAUAAGAUUGCAUCCUUUCAAUAAUGGGUGUAAUACCAUAUUAAGUGAUGCAUUUCACUGUUGCUGGCUAUGCAGGAUAUGCUAAGAGACUGUGAUUCUGGUUUUCCCAGCAUUGAUAGAUCAUUCACCUCCAUAUCACCUAAAAGAAGAAAGUUAAAGGCAGCAGUAUAUUUAUUUGUUGAGGGUUGUCACCGUGUUCCCUUUCCUUGCUGUGGGUGAGUGGAAGGAAGCUGCAAGAAGACCACUCACAGAGCUUGGCAUAUGCCCAUUAGUAUUCGGAGGAGGAAGCGACUGGUACCUGAUGCCUACCUGAAAAUGUCUAAUGGGAAAGAUCUGGCCAACCACUCUGAAGGCAGAGCAAGAGGAGUGUACUACAUUCAGAGGAAGCCACUCUUCUACCAAAAGCAAGGACAAGACUUCGAAUCAUCCCUGACACCAGAGAACACUAAAUGACAGUGGACAGGCAGACAGUGUACCUUUUGCUCCUGAUGGUCAUAAGAACCACCUCCUUCUUCUUAUUGUGAAGUGCAAGGUGCAAAAAGGAGGCCUGCCUGCUCCUUGUUCAGGACUAUGUCAGCAUUGUGGCUCAGAAGUGCAAAGGCUUUGGCAUGGCCUUCCCUUGCAGCAAAGUGAAGUGCAGUGUUCUUUUGAAGAAACGGACACAGAAAAUGUGGUGACAAUGCCUAAUCUGCUUUGUUUCAUGGCUGAACUGCCUAAAAGACAUUUGCAACACUAAUGAUUUAAUACCAAAAUACAUAGCAUUUAAAACUGG
This 3406-nucleotide long non-coding RNA is filed under the name Homo sapiens (human). RNAcentral's name for it is "HSALNT0347713". The record is from RNAcentral. Lineage: Eukaryota; Metazoa; Chordata; Mammalia; Primates; Hominidae.